UACGUAGGGGGCAAGCGUUGUCCGGAUUUAUUGGGCGUAAAGCGCUCGCAGGUGGUUCGUCGCGUCGUGCGUGAAAGACCCCGGCUCAACUGGGGGAGGUCGUGCGAUACGGGCGAACUGGAGGCCAGUAGGGGGAUGCGGAAUUCCGGGUGUAGUGGUGGAAUGCGUAGAGAUCCGGAGGAACACCAGCGGCGAAGGUGGCAUCCUGGACUGGUCCUGACACUCAUGAGCGAAAGCGUGGGGAGCGAUCCGG
This 253-nucleotide ribosomal RNA is filed under the name uncultured bacterium. RNAcentral's name for it is "partial 16S ribosomal RNA". It matches the Rfam family "Bacterial small subunit ribosomal RNA", at positions 524 to 776 of the family's 1533-position model. The record is from RNAcentral.